Cottoperca gobio is the source of this 1611-nucleotide long non-coding RNA. RefSeq lists it as uncharacterized. The record is from RefSeq and is a predicted model, not a curated record. The transcript is spliced from 2 exons. Lineage: Eukaryota; Metazoa; Chordata; Actinopteri; Perciformes; Bovichtidae.
UUUAUAUAGUAAAUAGUCAAUUCUCUAUCUGACAGGGCUGUAGACUCUUACGCCAUGUCACAAAUCCAUACUACAUACUGAUUAUCUGAAGGUUUCCAUCUGUUCACACUAGAAAAGUGACAAAAUAAAGUUUACCCAAAGUAUGCAGACUAAAUAUAGUGUUACAUUUUUUAGUUUUCUGCUAAUGCACCGAGGAUAUGAAGAAAAAACAGUUUCAAUCUUAAGGAAAACGUUUAAUUUUAAAUAGCUUUCCAAAGUCGCAGUUUCAUUGACAACCAACGUCACCCAUAUUGUAUCAUUCAAGUGGUAAAGCAUGUUGAUAUUUGUAUAUGCUAACUGCUAAUAUACUAUGACCAUUAGUAUGUAAUGCAUAUUGUAUAGGAUUAGUAUGGACUGGUAAUUGGACAAAAAACAAAGACAUCACCUUGAUCAUAAGGUAAUCAGUAAUAAAAUGAUUGCUAUUUGAAGCCCUAUGAAACACUCCUCAAAGUAAAAGAAAAAAAGCAUCUUUUCCCAAUUAUAAGCACUGAUGAGCGAGUCAUAAAAUGUUACUGUUGUGCUCACAGGAGUAAAGGUAGUUUAGUACUUUCAAAUGUUAUAGUUUUUAACUUUCACAGUGUUAUUUUUAUAGACCGUUAUCCUUUACGCAGCAUAACCCCGACCGCUACCACCGUCUACCAUCUCCCAGCUGGCUAAUAACAAUUCCCAGACAUUGCAUUACUCUGUGAGACGGCCGCGGCCGAUAGUGGUUAUGGUGGUACGGUAACAAUGGCAGCUCCCCCUGGUGUCAUCCCCUUAGCGUCUCUGAUGCAUGGCCAUCCUUAUUGUGCUGCAGAUUGAGGUGAAAUGAUUGAGGAUAAAGCCGUGAAAAGGGGGCUGUAGUGAUGGGCUUCAGUGUCCAUUGAAGUGAGGGAAUAAUCUAUCCGAGGGUGUGUUAGCGCUGACCAUCAUUUAAGUGGCUUGAAAGGGUCAGCGUGGGGACCGAGAUGUGGGAGCGAUCGGGACGGCCAUUACAGUCAUUCCGCUUCACUGUGCGAGGUACCGCCGCCUGAUUGAUGCCUGAGAGAGGAUUUGACUCUACUGUGGUCUACAGGAGAGGAUGUGGAGAAGCACAUAUUUCCACAGUCAGCCCAUCAGCUCCUUUAAGCUCUCUAUCACCGCACUUGUUCAUGACUGCUGACUCUCACACAACUACUCUCUCUUCAUCUUUACCCAAAACAGACUCAGACCAAGAAAUCAAUGGGACAAAGAGCCGUUCCGCCCAACAGAAGAAGCUGAUGUAAUUAAAUCCAUCUGCAGAGUAAGAGAAAAUAACGGAUAGGAAAGCUUGUGAAGUGCAGGGGAAGUCCCUGGAGGUAUAAUUAACAGUAUCUACUGUUAGUAUCUGUGCUUCUUCUUCCCUCGACGCUCACUACAGUACAGACUGACGCAGAGGCAAAGCCCCAGAACACUUUCUGCCAGAGGGUUUGCUUCGAGAGACUCUCCUGUUGUAUGGAGUGUGGAUUAAACGGCAACAUACAGAGCCAAUAAGAAACAUUGAAUCAAAGGAGAUUUAAUGUGGCUUUUUUUUUCUGAUCAUUGACCCCUUUAAUAAAAUCCAAUGGAAAAGUC